This 246-nucleotide ribosomal RNA is filed under the name uncultured bacterium. RNAcentral describes it as "partial 16S ribosomal RNA". It matches the Rfam family "Bacterial small subunit ribosomal RNA", at positions 92 to 334 of the family's 1533-position model. The record is from RNAcentral.
CGACCGGCGCACGGGUGAGUAACACGUAUGCAAUCCACCUGUAACAGGGGGAUAACCCGGAGAAAUCCGGGCUAAUACCCCAUAAUAUGGGCUCUCCGCAUGGAGGGUCCAUUAAAGAGAGCAAUUUUGGUUACAGACGAGCAUGCGCUCCAUUAGCCAGUUGGCGGGGUAACGGCCCACCAAAGCGACGAUGGAUAGGGGUUCUGAGAGGAAGGUCCCCCACAUUGGAACUGAGACACGGUCCAA